GGCUCAGAACGAACGCUGGCGGCGCGCUUAACACAUGCAAGUCGAGCGAGAACCAGGCCUUCGGGCCUGGGGACAGCGGCGAACGGGUGAGUAACACGUGGGUAAUCAACCCUCGACACUGGGAUAGCCCGGGGAAACCCGGAUUAAUACCGGAUGGCCCUUUGGAUCCUCGGAUCUGACGGGAAAGGUAGCUUCGGCCUCCGGUCGAGGACGAGCCCGCGGCGGAUUAGCUUGUUGGUGAGGUAACGGCCCACCAAGGCGACGAUAAGUAGCUGGUCUGAGAGGACGAUCAGCCACACUGGGACUGUUUCUCGGCCCAGAGUACUACGGGAGGCA
This 336-nucleotide ribosomal RNA is filed under the name uncultured bacterium. RNAcentral's name for it is "bacterial SSU rRNA". It matches the Rfam family "Bacterial small subunit ribosomal RNA", at positions 21 to 350 of the family's 1533-position model. The record is from RNAcentral.